GAUGAACGCUGGCGGCGUGCCUAAUACAUGCAAGUCGAGCGAACAGAUAAGGAGCUUGCUCCUUUGACGUUAGCGGCGGACGGGUGAGUAACACGUGGGUAACCUACCUAUAAGACUGGGAUAACUUCGGGAAACCGGAGCUAAUACCGGAUAAUAUUUCGAACCGCAUGGUUCGAUAGUGAAAGAUGGUUUUGCUAUCACUUAUAGAUGGACCCGCGCCGUAUUAGCUAGUUGGUAAGGUAACGGCUUACCAAGGCGACGAUACGUAGCCGACCUGAGAGGGUGAUCGGCCACACUGGAACUGAGACACGGUCCAGACUCCUACGGGAGGCAGCAGUAGGGAAUCUUCCGCAAUGGGCGAAAGCCUGACGGAGCAACGCCGCGUGAGUGAUGAAGGUCUUCGGAUCGUAAAACUCUGUUAUUAGGGAAGAACAUACGUGUAAGUAACGGUGCACGUCUUGACGGUACCUAAUCAGAAAGCCACGGCGAACUACGU
This 496-nucleotide ribosomal RNA is filed under the name uncultured bacterium. RNAcentral's name for it is "partial 16S ribosomal RNA". It matches the Rfam family "Bacterial small subunit ribosomal RNA", at positions 28 to 506 of the family's 1533-position model. The record is from RNAcentral.